UACGGAGGGUGCAAGCGUUAUCCGGAUUUACUGGGUUUAAAGGGUGUGUAGGCGGGCCAUUAAGUCAGGGGUGAAGUCCCGGAGCUCAACUCCGGAACUGCCUUUGAUACUAUUGGUCUUGAAUGUUGUUGAGGUGGGCGGAACGGGUCAUGUAGCGGUGAAAUGCAUAGAUAUGACCCGGAACACCGAUUGCGAAGGCAGCCCGCUAAGCAACUAUUGACGCUGAGGCACGAAAGCGUGGGGAUCAAACAGG
Molecule: ribosomal RNA, 253 nt
Filed under: uncultured bacterium
Lineage: Bacteria
Description: partial 16S ribosomal RNA
Rfam family: Bacterial small subunit ribosomal RNA
Source: RNAcentral